Molecule: long non-coding RNA, 1124 nt
Organism: Phascolarctos cinereus (koala)
Lineage: Eukaryota; Metazoa; Chordata; Mammalia; Diprotodontia; Phascolarctidae
Source: RefSeq, a predicted model, not a curated record
AUGUUUCCAAUUCAUCUUGUAUCACCUUUACAUGGGGAACCCCUUGUUCCUUUUUUCUUUCUUUCUUUUUUAAUUAAUGUAUUUAUUCAAAGGAGGAGGGAAGUGGGGGGAGAAAGGGAGCUAAUGUAGUGGGGAGGCCGGGCUCUGGUACUCUGGGGUGGGAUGCACUAGGAUGCUCACCCCCCUCUGAGAGUCCUUGGGGCAGGGGGCAGGUAACAGUCCUUCCUGCUCCUAGUUCCCGGCUCUCCUUUCCCUGGGCUGGCCCAGAAAGGAGCCCACGAGGAAAGAGGCGCUUUGGGUUGGUUCUUAAGAGCAAAUACGAAACUAAACUUAGCCGGCUCGCCUUUCCUCGCCUCGACCCCCGGGAGCCCGGAGCGCAAGCAGGCGCGAGCCGCCCCAUCCCUCCCGGGCCGCUCCUCGCGCUGGCUCCAGCCAAAUGCACCGUGUGUUUCCUGCUCGCCAGGGAAUGAGUAUUCUGAGAUGGAAGUGCCCAGACACUUCUGGAGAUCCAGAGGUUCCUCAGAGAUCCCACUGGCAACUGGAGUCAUUAGCAAAGUCCAGAUGCAGCUGAAUGGUUGGCCUAGCAGGAGAUGACCUGCCAAGCAGAGCGCUGCACCUAAGGGAAACUUCGUAAGCACUUCCAGAGUCAGAAGACAGAAGGUGUCUCUUGGGCACACGCAUUCUCUACAAGCAUACCUCAGUACUAUUAUACUUUAAUUUUGAUCCUACUCUCUCAAAAGACAUUGUGUAUGCAAGGGGAGAAUGCGCCUCCUAUUUGGGGAGUGGUUUGUAUCAGCUGUUCUUGCUAUAUACCAUCUUAGUAAUGCCAUUUUCUAUGAGUUAAUUGGGUUCAUUUGGGGUUCCACUUUGGGGAGGGGUCUGCCAUCCUUUAUCCGCCUCCUGAUUCUGCUUCUGACUCUCCUGACUUUGAUACCAUGACUCUCCAUGGGUGCCUCCUCCCUGCCCCUAAUUUUCAGCUCCCUUUUAUACAUUGUCUUCCCCAACUGGAAUAGAAAACUCCUUGAGGGCAGAGACUAUCUUUAUUUUCGCUUGUAUUUGAAUCCUGAGCAUCUAGCACGGUGCCUAGCACAUAUUAAACAUUUAAUAAAUGCUCAUUGACUUGU